UACAGAGGGUACGAGCGUUGUCCGGAAUCACUGGGCGUAAAGGGCGCGUAGGCGGCUUCUUAAGCGUGUGGUGAAAGCGCGGGGCUCAACCCCGCGUCGGCCGUGCGAACAGGGGAGCUGGAGCACGUCAGAGGCAGGCGGAAUUCCGGGAGUAGCGGUGGAAUGCGUAGAGAUCCGGAAGAACACCGGUGGCGAAGGCGGCCUGCUGGGACGUGGCUGACGCUGAGGCGCGACAGCGUGGGGAGCAAACAGG
This 253-nucleotide ribosomal RNA is filed under the name uncultured bacterium. RNAcentral describes it as "partial 16S ribosomal RNA". It matches the Rfam family "Bacterial small subunit ribosomal RNA", at positions 524 to 776 of the family's 1533-position model. The record is from RNAcentral.